RNAcentral lists this ribosomal RNA (472 nucleotides) under uncultured bacterium. Its description in RNAcentral is "bacterial SSU rRNA". It matches the Rfam family "Bacterial small subunit ribosomal RNA", at positions 355 to 825 of the family's 1533-position model. The record is from RNAcentral.
UGGGGAAUUUUGGACAAUGGGGGCAACCCUGAUCCAGCCAUGCCGCGUGUGUGAAGAAGGCCUUCGGGUUGUAAAGCACUUUCGGACGGAACGAAAUCGCGCGGGCGAAUACCCCGCGUGGAUAACGGUACCGUAAGAAGAAGCACCGGCUAACUACGUGCCAGCAGCCGCGGUAAUACGUAGGGUGCGAGCGUUAAUCGGAAUUACUGGGCGUAAAGUGUGCGCAGGCGGCCCGCCAAGCCAGAUGUGAAAGCCCCGGGCUCAACCUGGGAAUUGCAUUUGAGACUGCACGGCUAGAGUGUGUCAGAGGGGGGUAGAAUUCCACGUGUAGCAGUGAAAUGCGUAGAUAUGUGGAGGAAUACCGAUGGCGAAGGCAGCCCCCUGGGAUAACACUGACGCUCAUGCACGAAAGCGUGGGGAGCAAACAGGAUUAGAUACCCCGGUAGUCCCUGAGCGGGCUGGCAAGGCGCAU